This 404-nucleotide ribosomal RNA is filed under the name uncultured bacterium. RNAcentral describes it as "bacterial SSU rRNA". It matches the Rfam family "Bacterial small subunit ribosomal RNA", at positions 32 to 413 of the family's 1533-position model. The record is from RNAcentral.
AAUCAACGCUGGCGGCGUGCCUCAGACAUGCAAGUCGAACGCGAAAGUCCCCUUCGGGGGACAAGUAGAGUGGCGCACGGGUGAGUAACACGUAGGUAAUCUACCUUCGGAUGGGGAAUAACAACCGGAAACGGUUGCUAAUACCGCAUAAUGCAGCGGCACCUAAUGGUGACAGUUGUUAAAGCGGGGGGAUCGAAAGACCCCGCGUCCGAAGAGGAGCCUGCGGCGGAUUAGCUAGUUGGUAAGGAAUGGCUUACCAAGGCGACGAUCCGUAGCCGGCCUGAGAGGGCGGUCGGGCCACACUGACACUGACAUACGGGUCAGACUCCUACGGGAGGCAGCAGUCGGGAAUUUUGGGCAAUGGGGCGAAAGCCUGACCCAGCAACGCCGCGUGAAGGAUGAAA